Long non-coding RNA from Poecilia latipinna (sailfin molly), 576 nucleotides. RefSeq lists it as uncharacterized. NCBI's taxonomy places the organism in Eukaryota, Metazoa, Chordata, Actinopteri, Cyprinodontiformes, Poeciliidae. The record is from RefSeq and is a predicted model, not a curated record. The transcript has 2 exons.
UUGCUGUUUCAUAAUUAUAAUCCAUGUUAGAGUGAAUUUUUCCCUUGGCUGCUAUAAUCUGUUCUUGAGUUACACAACGUAAUUUCUCUUUUUUUUUUCUCUGAGAUUCUGCUUAGAAAAUGAAGUUAUGAAGUUAUAUCCUCCCGCUGCCUUUCGUUUUAAAAAUGGUUUGCAUCGCAACACCUCGUGUUUCUGAGCCAUGAUCGCUGUGCUGAUUACCUUUCCAUUGGAUCCAAGCACCUGGACCAGCUGAUGGCGUCCAUCAGUCCACUGUCUGCCGGAUCAUCACAACAUGGACUAACUUUUUAUUUACUUGGUUAAACUAUGAUCUGGAAACCGGAGCACCAGAUAUGCAAAAAUCUACCUGCAGACUUUGUUGGCUACCCUGACACUGCAGUCAUCCUGGAUGGGGCUGAGCCGCUCUUCCUCUCCUCCAGAGUGACGAGUUUUCAUCACCAGUAAAGGCAAACAAGUCUGACGUCUGAUUAGCUGCUAGAAAGUAUAUUAUAUAUUCACUGUUCAUUUUGCUAUCCUGUUUGUACCUACAAUAAAAUUGAAUCUCAUUUGUAAUACUCU